AUGGCAUUUAACCAGUAUAAGCACAACCCACUUUCAUGCAAGAAAAUGGAUCCUGAAGGUGCAAUUGCCAACGGAAGCAUACACUUGCAAUGGACUGAAGAAGAAGACCUGCAACUGGUAAGACAUUGUUUUCACUAUCUUCAAUGGUUGCUUUCUAUUAUUAUUGCUAAUUACUAUAGUAUGUUCAACAUGCAGAUCUUUGCGUGGUUAAACAACUCAAUUCAGGCUAUCGAUGAAAAUUUAGAGGAUUUGUGGAACCAAAUCGCCAACGAUUUCAAUGAAAAUAGUCUUCAUGAACGACGGAGGCAGUCAAUCCAAUGCAAGCGACACUGGUAUAAGCUGAAUAAUAGAAUUGUCCUAUUUCAUAGUAUGUGGCGUAGGGUGAGAGAUUUGUACAUUACUUGCAGAUCUAGUGAUGAAUUAGUGUCUAGAGCACUUGAUAUGUACAGGUCAGAAACAAACAAGUCCUUCAAAGAUCUGAACUCAUGGAGUGUGCUAAGGAAUGAGCCCCAUUGGAACUUGAUCAACUUCCAGUGA
This 537-nucleotide ribosomal RNA is filed under the name Triticum aestivum (bread wheat). RNAcentral describes it as "partial small subunit ribosomal RNA". Lineage: Eukaryota; Viridiplantae; Streptophyta; Magnoliopsida; Poales; Poaceae. The record is from RNAcentral.